This is a long non-coding RNA of Caretta caretta (loggerhead turtle), 3113 nucleotides long. RefSeq lists it as uncharacterized. NCBI's taxonomy places the organism in Eukaryota, Metazoa, Chordata, Testudines, Cheloniidae. The record is from RefSeq and is a predicted model, not a curated record.
UCACCAGUAAUUACAAGAGUGUGUACACUGGGAGAAUGAAGAUUGGGAAGGUGGGAGGUAGGACGUGAUUCCCCUUUGGAGUAAUCAGGACUGGGAAAGGUUUCAUUCCAUGCAAACGUGACGAACUUUGUAAAGGAAAACUACUACCGGGAUGGUUGAUAAACCGUUAGAGUUGAAGGAAACCCAGGAGGACAAAGUAAACCAUUCUGAACAACACCAAGAUGUCAUGAUGGUUCCCUACAGUAUAUUCUUGAGCAGGAUGGUUCCCUACAGUAUAUUCUUGAAGACUUUGGACAAUCUAGUUUUGGCUUCAGCCACUUGUCUUGGAGACUAUUCCACAGUGAAAUAAACUAUCAGAAAAUUUUCCAAUAUUACACAGCCUAUAAUAUUUCCCCUUUUUGAAAUUCAUCCAUUAUACCUACCUUCUACCUCAUGAAGUAUUGGAAUACAGGAAUUGCCAUACUGGAUCAGACCAGAGGGCCAUCUAGUCCACUAUGCCAUCUCUGAUAGUGGCCAACACUGGAAGGAAGGUAUAAGAACACAGAGGGUUUGUGGCUGCUGCAGUAGGCAAAUGUGGAACAAUGUGCCCUCUACAAUAGGUCUCAUCCUAGUUUGUAAUAGUUAAAGAUUGGCUUAAACUCUCAAGCACAAGGUUUCACAUUCCUUCUAGAAUUUUUGUUAACAACAAUUAUAACUGUGGAUGUUCCUGUUAUCCAUAUAAAUGUUCAUUCCCUUUGGAACUUACUAAAUUCUUCGACUCAAUGACUUCCUAUGGCAAUGAGUUCCACAGUCUGAUUAUACAUUGUUUGAAAAAAAGGUAUUUCCUUUAAUUAGUUUGAAAUUUGCCACCUUUCAAUUUCAUUGAAUGUCCUGUUGUUCUUGUGUUAUGAGACAGGGAGAACAGAAGCUCCUGAUGGGGAGAAAUAUGAGCUCUUCCCUCUUGGAAUGGGGCCAAGAGUCUCAUGCUGCCUUCCCAGCUCCUCUCAGCCAUCAGCCUUCAUCCUGGCUCUCAUCUAUUGUCUUAUCCAUUUCUUACUUACCUCUGGUCUAAAAUCCUCACUGUUUUACCUUCCUUCUUCUGGUUCCUGCCCUGAAAAAGAGGUUGGGAACCAGAAGAGGAGUAGAAUCAUUGGACUGGAAGGGAAGUCUGCUAAGUCCAGUCCCUUGCACUCAAGGCAGGACGAAGUAUUAUCUAGACCAUACCUGAGAGGUGUUUGUCUAGCCUGCUCUUAAAAAUCUCUAAUGCCAGAGAUUCCACAGCCUCCCUAAGCACUUUAUUCCAGUGCCUAACUACCCUGACAGGAAGUUUUUCCUAAUGUCUAAACUAAAUCACUCUUGCUGCAGUUGAAGCCCAUUGCUUCUUGUCCCGUCCUCAGAGGUUAAGAAAAACAAGUUUUCUCCCUCCUCCUUGUAACAAGCUUAUGGUCAUAUCAGAAUGCCAAAGGACAGUUGUUCCUGGCAAGAGGAGAUGGGUCAGAUCAGAAAUGGCUCCAGCAGCCAAAAACCCUCUAUCAUACAGCACUCAUUCGUGGCUCCCUAGUUCAGAACUGCCAAUACGAUGACAAGGGUCUCACCCCAAAUUGAUUCUCUUUAGCCUGUGACAAACCCCAUGUGUUCCGGCAAAAAGUAAGGGAUUUGGGCAUGUAUUUAUUCUCCAUGAUCUCUCUCACUCCCAAAAUCUUUUUGCUAUAUGCUAUAAACAGAGAUGGAGGCAGCACAACAAAGCAAACAAACAUCUAUUAAGGUGCAUUUUAUUGAAAAUAUUUAUACUUUUCCCCAGUAAAAAUAUAUUUAGUAUAGAACUGCAUAACAGUGUGCACCUUCUAUUGUUUGAAGAGGAAACUAGGGUCCAAGGAUAAAGACCUUUUAGGGUGCCGGAGGUUGUUCUUGUCAAAGAAGUUUUUUUAAAUAGCCACCUUUUGGUCCAUACCAAUGGUGAUAAAAUUGGCCUUUGAAAGUAUUUUAUGAGUCCCAGGGAAAUCAUCUUCGGCAGUGAUGACACUGUCCAGAAUGGGGGUGCAUUCCAUAAAAAGCAGUGAAAACAUUCCAACCUCCCUUCAGUUUGGUGGCUGCAUUUUAACAAAAGGCUCCUUGGAACCCCCAAAAACCUUCUGUAGCACAUCAGUGGGCUCUCCACUAAAUCCUGGAAACUAGCCAGUCUCCAGGUGACAAGUACUGGGUAAUAAUAAGUUUCUUAAUGAUUAAAAACUCUCAUACGUCCUGCAAAUACUUGACAGCGAAACCUGAAGGUAGUAGGGCAGGAUUGUGCCAUCCUGUCAUAAUUUUCUUUGCAAACUGGACAGGAAUAGCUUACACAAGAACUGGCUUCUCUGUAGAAGACAAUCUUUCAAUUGAAAGUAUAUUUUGUGAGAAGUAAAGAAAAGUAGGGUAUGUGUGAACAAACUGCUGUGGCAACAAAACACAACCACACAGCUCACGACAGUUUUCUCACACAAGUCUUCUUGUCGGCUUCUGACACAACAUUGCAAAUAUGUACCAGACACCCUCUAAUAAAGCCCUUCCUUUUAGGAAGCAACUCAAGUACGUGGACUGCUCUUCCUCAAAAAUAAAGCUAGUUCCCCUCUCUGUCCCCUAAUUUGACUCAGUCACUGGAUAUCUUGCUUCAAAUUAUCUUUUGGUAGCUGGGUAACUUCCAUACUUUGGAGAGAAGAAAUUGCAAAAAAAAAAAAAAAAGGAUUAAAUACUAUAUCCAUCAAUAAUCUAUAAUAGACUAUACAAGAUUAUAUUGGGUUUGAGGAAAUGCCUUUUGAAACACUGACAAAUUUAAGGCCUUAGUAAAAAUUAAAUCCUAGCAUUGUUGCUGUUUCAGUUUGUGUGAGAACUUCCUGUUUUGUUUUGGCUGGUAUGAGAGUGAGGGUGAACUGUUGAUAUUCCUGUUCUUCUGAUAGACUAUCACAUGAUAUGUUUAAAAAUAAGCUUGCCUCCUUUGUGUAUGAGCAAGCCUUGGUGAACAAUGUCUUGUAUUGCAGCUAUGUUUGUAUUUGGCACAAAAAACAACCUGUUAAGGAGGUAGUGUGAAAAGAAAAGUGAUUUUCAUAAGCUUAUUUCAAAACAGUAUCCAGAAAGGAUGUGGGAAUCGAUACAACAUUGGU